This 438-nucleotide ribosomal RNA is filed under the name uncultured bacterium. RNAcentral describes it as "bacterial SSU rRNA". It matches the Rfam family "Bacterial small subunit ribosomal RNA", at positions 341 to 792 of the family's 1533-position model. The record is from RNAcentral.
ACGGGAGGCAGCAGUGGGGAAUAUUGGGCAAUGGGCGAAAGCCUUACCCAGCAAUACCGCGUGAGGGAAGGAGGUCUUCGGAUUGUAAACCUCUUUGAUCAGGGACGAAGAAAGUGACGGUACCUGAAGAACAAGCCCCGGCUAACUACGUGCCAGCAGCCGCGGUAAUACGUAGGGGGCGAGCGUUGUCCGGAAUGACUGGGCGUAAAGGGUGCGUAGGCGGCUAAGCAAGUUAGAAGUGAAAUACCUAGGGCUUAACUCAGGUGCUGCUUUUAAAACUGUUUGGCUGGAGUGCAGGAGAGGUUAAUGGAAUUCCUAGUGUAGCGGUGGAAUGCGUAGAUAUUAGGAGGAACACCAGAGGCGAAGGCGAUUAACUGGACUGUAACUGACGCUGAGGCACGAAAGUGUGGGGAGCAAACAGGAUUAGAUACCCUGGUA